GAUGAAGAACGCAGCGAAAUGCGAUAAGUAAUGUGAAUUGCAGAAUUCAGUGAAUCAUCGAAUCUUUGAACGCACAUUGCGCCCGCCAGUAUUCUGGCGGGCAUGCCUGUUCGAGCGUCAUUUCAACCAUCAAGCCCCCGGCUUGUGUUGGGGACCUGCGGCUGCCGCAGGCCCUGAAAAGCAGUGGCGGGCUCGCUGUCACACCGAGCGUAGUAGCAUACAUCUCGCUCUGGGCGUGCUGCGGGUUCCGGCCGUUAAACCACCUUCAUAACCCAAGGUUGACCUCGGAUCAGGCAGGAAGACCCGCUGAACUUAAGCAUAUCAAUAAGCGGAGGA
This 336-nucleotide unclassified non-coding RNA is filed under the name soil metagenome. Its description in RNAcentral is "partial contains 5.8S ribosomal RNA, internal transcribed spacer 2, and large subunit ribosomal RNA". The stretch from base 1 to 120 matches the Rfam family "5.8S ribosomal RNA", at positions 35 to 154 of the family's 154-position model. The record is from RNAcentral.